RNAcentral lists this ribosomal RNA (253 nucleotides) under uncultured bacterium. RNAcentral describes it as "partial 16S ribosomal RNA". It matches the Rfam family "Bacterial small subunit ribosomal RNA", at positions 524 to 776 of the family's 1533-position model. The record is from RNAcentral.
UACAGAGGUCUCAAGCGUUGUUCGGAUUCAUUGGGCGUAAAGGGUGCGUAGGCGGCGCGGUAAGUCGGGUGGGAAAUCUCGGAGCUUAACUCCGAAACUGCAUUCGAUACUGCCGUGCUUGAGGACUGGAGAGGAGACUGGAAUUUACGGUGUAGCGGUGAAAUGCGUAGAUAUUGUGAGGAACACUAGUGGCGAAGGCGAGACUCUGGACAGUUCCUGACGCUGAGGCACGAAGGCCAGGGGAGCAAACGGG